Molecule: ribosomal RNA, 253 nt
Filed under: uncultured bacterium
Lineage: Bacteria
Description: partial 16S ribosomal RNA
Rfam family: Bacterial small subunit ribosomal RNA
Source: RNAcentral
UACAGAGGUCCCAAGCGUUGUUCGGAUUCACUGGGCGUAAAGGGUGCGUAGGCGGUCAGGUAAGUCUGAUGUGAAAUCUCUGGGCUUAACCCAGAAAUGGCAUUGGAUACUAUUUGGCUUGAGAGUUGGAGGGGGGACUGGAAUUCUUGGUGUAGCAGUGAAAUGCGUAGAUAUCAAGAGGAACACCAGUGGCGAAGGCGAGUCCCUGGACAACUUCUGACGCUGAGGCGCGAAAGCUAGGGGAGCAAACAGG